This is a non-coding RNA of Chiloscyllium plagiosum (whitespotted bambooshark), 589 nucleotides long. NCBI's taxonomy places the organism in Eukaryota, Metazoa, Chordata, Chondrichthyes, Orectolobiformes, Hemiscylliidae. The record is from RefSeq and is a predicted model, not a curated record.
UGCUUUGCGGAUAUUCAUCUAGGCUGCCUGUUCGGAAAACCCCAACACAAUGGAACUGGCCAUCGUGAAAUUGGGACUGCCGUGACUGAUGAAGGAUAUUAUGGAACAGAAUGAUAAAGGGAUUGUUUCCACUUUUCCAUCACUGACAUGGAUUGACCUGCAUGAAGUGCUACUUCCAUUUUCAUUGGUCUCUUUCAAUCAUCCUCUCUCCUGCCCAAAAGCCUGUGGUGAGGGGGACGGUGAGCCUGGAUGGCAGUUGGCAGAGAGAUGGCAGCGUGGAAGCAUGGGCAUCUAGAGAUCAAGCCCAGCACAGGACAGAAAUCAAGCCCUCGUGGGGAAAGCACAGCAUGGAUCAACUGAGGGCCAUGGCUAAAGAAGGACUGUAAUGUUGAACUUCUAGCUUACUUCUUUAUUUUUCUACUUUUUAACCUAAGAUUUUGUACCAACGUAACUUGUAUCUAAGAUGACUUCGUGAAUAACAUUGUGUAAUUUUCACUUUACUCCUGUAUCGCUGAAACCUAGCGAUAGGAAAACCUAGUUCAAAUGUUGUUUCGGGGCAAUUUACAGCCAAUAAAGUUUAGUAUGUGUA